AGGGAGAAGGGGGAAAUGGUGAAGAGAGGAAGAGGGGGACAGGAGGAGGAAGACAGAGUUAGCUGUGCCUGAAGCAAGAGCUUCUGCUGGACUUUAUAUCAACAUGAGCCAAUCACUUCCAUUGUUGAAAGAUUUGCCAAACUGGAGGAUUCACAGGGGACCAUAAGGAAAGUAAAUCAAAGAUGGUUACAAAUGCAGCAGCGUUAGGCAAUCCCGAGUAUGGCCAGGGCCUCAGGAGUAGAAGAGAGGGAAAGAUGGAAGAAAAUUAAAUGACCUGCCAGAGAAACUGCUUAUUUCACAGAAGGAUGGUGCUGGCUGAAAGAUGCUUUCUUGAAAUGGAAGGAUUACUGCCUUACACAGGUUCCCCUGAAGAUGUAUUUUAUUUGCAUUUUAAUUCUUAGAGCUAAAAGGCAUGAGCAUGAACUAUUGAGGAUAUUAACUCUGAAACUUCAUCUGCAUUGUUUCUGUUUGCAUUCUGUAUAGUGUGUUACAUAGGAAUAUAUCAACAAAAAUAUAUACUCCUGGCUAUAAAUUAGGUUUGACUAUUCAUUUGAUAAAAGCUACACCUAUCCUUUUGAUAAUAAAUAAAUAAAUACAUAAUAGAUUGAUAAUGUCUAGUGUUGGUGAAAGUAUGGGGAAGCAGUUACAGUCAUUCUUACAUAUUGCAGAAUAGUGGUGAUUGCUGCAACAUUUUGUAUUCUGGCAGCAUGUAGCAAUAUUUUAAAAUCCUGUUUUUCUUUUAUGAAUUCAUUUAAUGAAAACCUAUUGAGCACAGACUAUGGAGCAGCAACCAUUCUAGUUACUGGGGAUAUGGUAGUGGCAAAAUAAAGUCCUUAACCUCAUGGAUCAUGCUUUUAUUUGGAGUGGGAAUGGAGACAGAAAAUAAACAAACAACUAAAUACAAAGUAUGUCAGAUGCAGACUAAUGCUCUGAACAAAAUAAAGUAGGGUAAGGGGGAAUAAGAAUACCUGCUUCUUUUGGGGAGGUGUGUCAUUUAUUUUAUAUAAAGUGGUCAUGAAAGACCCCACUGAGAAACUGACAGUUGAGUAGAAAUUUGAAGGAAGUGAGAGAAAUAAGGACAUCUGGAGACCUGAGCAACAGAGUUCCUAGUAGGGGCAACAGUGAAUAUAAGAAAUUCUAAGGUGGAGGCUUCUUACUGGAUCAAUGGACUAGUGCUGAGGCCAGUGUGUCUUUUGUAAACAUUGAUAAUGGCAUUUUAUUAUUCAAAUUUCUGAAAUGUUUAUGUUUUCAA
This is a long non-coding RNA of Balaenoptera musculus (blue whale), 1252 nucleotides long. RefSeq lists it as uncharacterized. The transcript is spliced from 5 exons. Lineage: Eukaryota; Metazoa; Chordata; Mammalia; Artiodactyla; Balaenopteridae. The record is from RefSeq and is a predicted model, not a curated record.